This 6727-nucleotide long non-coding RNA is filed under the name Sus scrofa (pig). Its description in RNAcentral is "lncRNA (ENSSSCG00000053744.1)". Lineage: Eukaryota; Metazoa; Chordata; Mammalia; Artiodactyla; Suidae. The record is from RNAcentral.
GAGAUGAAGGUGGGGCCAGCCUCAUCACCCAUGCUGGCCACUAGGUGCACGUGACCUCUUCAGGAUGCCAGCUUGAGGAGGGACAGCCCCAGGCACUGACCGGCACUGGAUUCUCUCUCUCUCACCUGUUUCUUCCUCGUGGGGAGUGUCCUAUAGGGUCGUUGAGAGGUGCACACAGGUGGUGCUAAAUAAAAGCUUCAGGCGUACGAAGGCUUCCCCUGGGGGUCUCCGUGGCCAUCCCUCCUGCUCUUGGGGCAGAGACCCGCUGCUCACUCCUUCUGCACCAGGAGCCCCCCCCCCCCGCCCCGCCCCCAGUCUACUUCCUCUUCCUGGACACAGGCCUAGGGAGGGCCAGUGCUCAAGGCCACGUAGCACCGGGCCCCUGCCCCACCAGUCGUGGGCUCUCAGCAGCCCCUACUUCCCCACAGCACCAGGCAACACGAGGGGGAGGCAGCCAGGGAAGGCUUCCUGUAGGAGGGGCCCUGAGCCUCUUGGAGAGAUUGUGGUUUCUCCUGGAGAUCUCAGGGCCAGACAUGUGGUCAAGUCCUAGGUCUCUGUUCCGAUGGCCCUGCAGCUGGAUUCAGUUGAUUCCGCUCCCAGCUCUGUGCAGGACUGGCUCUGUGGCCCCCGGCAGGGUGCUCACCCGCUCUGAGCCCUGGCCUGCUGCCACUGUGCAAAGGACCCGUAGCAUGAACUGGCAUAGCUGGUGCCACAGUGUCCAUGUGGGUGCACGGCUCCAGCGGCUGGAGUUGGAAGAGCGUGUGAGGCUGCAGUGGGUCAGAAGGUCAGUCACCCUCCAGCUUCGUCCUCCCAUCCCGAGCGUCCGUCUCCUCGGGCCAUCAGGCCGAGGAGGACCUGUACCUCACCCAGGACGAGAUGAUGCUGAGAAUUGCAUCUGCUGAGGCAAGGGUGCUGCUGUCACUCUUCAUGCGUUCUAGAAAAAUCCUCGGGUUCGCGUUGGCGGCCUGGGCCCCGGGAGGGACUCCCUGUGACUUUGGGUUUGACCUGAGACGCUGUGGGUGGGUGCCAAGCUGCCUCCCACCCAGAGGUCAUCUCACCUCUUGGCCACCCCUUCCUGCCGCGGGCCCUCUGCCUGGAGCCUGUGCGGGGGCCCUGGCGCCCGGCUCUCCGCCAGCCGGCCCGCACUUCCCCAGGCCGGGCAGCACCUGCUACAGCUGGAUCCCUCCUCUUUUGUUCAUUUGCUCCCGAAGGGUCUGUCUGUCAUCCUACCUGAUGCGAACACCAAGGGGCCGGCACCCCCCGUUCACACCGCACUUGGUGCUCGAGGGAGCUGCUUGUGGGUCAAACGAACAGGCAAAGAGCGAAGAGGCGGCGGGUUACCCCCACCUGCAGGCGAGGCCCCCCGUCUCCACCUGGCUGCCUGUAGACGCUUUCUGACACCCACUUGCUCAGGGUAAUGCUUUCAAAUGCAGGAGAAAACCCGCGUACAAGAGGAAACAGAGACAUGAGCUUCUUGUGAAAAUAGGAUUUGAAAACGUGUGAGACAGUGAUGAGCAGGCCGUUGUUGAAAAGCCCCUCAGAGGUCAAGACCCAGCAGAGGCUGUGGCCAGGGCCUCCCUGCCUCCACGCACCGCAGAGGGAGCCGUGUCCACUUUGCCGAGAAAAGGGGGUGUCCGCGUUUUCCCAUGAGUGUUGAGUUCACGCUGCCUUGGGGCCCAUCUCUGGGUCCCCAAGGAGGACCUCCUGGCAUGUGCCACCUUGGGGCGGGGGGCACACAGCCUGCAGGGAUGGGGUCAGCCUACUCACCUGGCCCAGCUCUGAGGGGACGCUGACGACAGCCAUGCCCCCGUCCUGCAGGGGUCCCCUGCUGUGAGCAGUUCCCAUGAGAGAAGGUGGGAGACCCCGCUCCCUGUAGCAAGGUGAGCAGGGACCAGAGGGGGAAGUGACAGGGCCGGGCCCAAGGCAGGUUGAGGCCGGAGUGGUCUUGGGAUAGCCUGACGCCCCGCCUGCCAUCUUGCAGUGCAGGCCCUCGAGGGCGCUCUCAGGUCACAGGGGCAAAAUCAUGAGGGGCCUUCUGAGGCCUGGUUCCUGUUGCCCUCAGCCUCCUCCCAGACCCUGGCCCCAUGCUCAGGGCAGUCAGACCCAGGCCCCAGCCUCAAGGGAGAGAUUUGGAGGGAUAGGAGCAGAGGCAUGGAAUUGGGUAUUGAAGGAUGCAUAGGAGUUUGAGGGAGCAGGAGGAAGAAAGGGCUGUGGGCAGAGGGUCUGGCAUGUGGCAAGGCAGGAGGUGGGAGGCCUUUCCUCCAAUGCCGUCUUUGUGGAUUUUUACGGCCACUGGCAGGUGAGCAACAGGAGACUCCGGUGCUCCCCCAGCCUGACGGCCGCCACCUCACCCUGGGACCCUCUGGCCCAGCCUACCCGCCUCCCCCCCAACCCCGAACACUUGGAAUGGAGCGACGUUCCAGCCUUUAUCCUGGUGUUUCCACUUCCACGAACCCUGCCCCCCCGUUCUCUCCUCCACAGGUCUCAAGUCCAGUGGCAGCCCCCUCAGCGAGGCCUUUCCCGACCUCUGGAGUUACUCGGCUUCUCUCUCCCCAGCCUGUUUUUGGUCUGCCCUGCCUACCAGCGCGUGUCGGCUGGUGGCGGGCUCAGCAGGUGUCUGCCCCGUGCUGGCUGGCUGCUCAGUGCAGCUCUGGAGAGCAGGUGGGCUGAGGCCUUGGCCUCGCUCCUGGAGCUGAGCUAUAAAGGGGCCCUUGGGUCCCCCAGAAGGCCCACCUAUUGUCCCGACUCCUGAGCUCAGGCCACGCCAGGGUGAACCCGGCCCCUCGGAGGUCUGUCAGGCCGCCUAGAGCAUUUUCUGAUUCCAAAAUAAAGCCAGAUUUACGAAACGAGGAGGAAAAGGGAAGCUAAGAAAACCGCUAUCCCCAUGCCCUCAGCAGGUCCCUGGGGACGGAGGCCAGGGGCCCAGGCAUCACCCUGGGCUCAGCCUGCUCCGAAGAAAGCAGACGGCCCCUCUGUCUGGACGCAGAGGGACAGAGGCAGGACACCGGGGGCUGGGCUCAGCCCUGCAGCUCCUGUCUCCUCCUCUGUCAGAGACCCUUGGCCGCUUCGAACACCCUCAGGUCCGACACCAGGCGCCCAGCAGAACCAGUUCAGGUCCGGGGGGCUUGGGCAGCAGCACCGGGGCCGGACAUCUUGGGGGCUGCGUAGAGGAGGCGUCCUUUGAGCUUGAAAGAUGCGUGGCUUUAGGGGCGGCAGAGCCGGGCAUUGGAGGGCGAGGGGCUCUGAGGCGUGGGCAGUCCUGAGACGUGGCUCACUGGGGACCGCGUGGUCGCGUGACCACGUGACCUCAGCAGGGCGCCAGCCCCAGCGCGCGCCUCAUCCGGACUGUCCUUCUCUCUCGCUGACACUUAAGGACCUUUUAUGCAUCGAGUAAUCAAUCCUUUUUAUAACAGACACGUAUCGUUGGCCCUUUAUUUUGCUUAUAACGGGGUUUGAUAAACAACCUCCCCAGUGUUUUUACGUGGGCAGAUUUUCCAGCCUUUUCCAGGUGGCUCCUUGUCACUGUGUCCGAGGCCUUUUCUCUCCUGUGCACAUGCUGGGCACUUAGAAAACGUCUGAGACUCGAAUUAAGUUGAAGCUUGAAAAACUACAGCUGGGGUUCCCGUUGUGGCGCAGUGGAAACAAAUCUGUCUAGGAACCACGAGGUCGCGGGUUCGAUCCCUGGCCUCGUCCAGUGGGUGAAGGAUCCGGCAUUGCCAUGAGCUGUGGUGUAGGUUGCAGACGCGGCUCCGAUCCCGAGUGGCUGUGGCUGUGGUGUAGGCCGACAGCUGUAGCUCUGAUUCGACCCCCAGCCAGGGGACCUCCAUAGGCUGCGGGCGUGGCCCUAAAAAGCAAAACAAAAAGCCCCAAACCUACAGCUGGAAGAAAACUAGCCACCAUGUGCCUCCGCUCUCUGGAUCCCUCCCUCGGAGUUCCUUCCCACCGUGUCCGACGCUCACCCCUUCCUGCUUGGAGGGGAGGGUCGGUCCCCGACCACUCCGUGACCCCUCUUCAGUGUGAGUCGGGGGCUCAGGGAUGCGACAGUGGGAGUGGCUGGGGGACCAGGAAAUUUCCAGCGCCACGUGUUAACUUGAUGAAACCCGGCAGAGAGAGAACAUCAUUGGUCUCAGCUGACAGAUGAGGAAAUGGGCUCAGAGAGGUUAUAUGACUUGCCCAGGGUCACCCAGCAAGGGACAGAGGCAAGACUUGAACCCAAGCCAUCUAGCCCUGAGUUUAUAUUCUCAAACUAUUCCCCGCCCCGCCCCCCGCCGUUGGGGUCAAGUCCAAGCUCAUUGAAAUGACAUCCAGGGCCUCUCAGAGCCUCAGUUCCCCCCACAUCAGCGCAACCUGCACUCGUGGGCACUCAGGACGCCUCCGCCCUCCCUGUCGUUAGGGUGACAGGGUGCCUGCCUCUCUCUACCCCCUCAGCCCCCAGUCCUUAGGACCGGAGUGUUGGGGCUGGAAGGACAGCCCCCUGUGCGCAGCCAGGAAUAGGGAGGCGGAGAGCUGGGUGAGCCGUUGCCAGGGCCAGGCGCGAGGGCAGAGCUCACUGUGCCGUGCUCGGGCUCGGGCUCGGGCUCGGGCUGGGUGCUGUCCAUGAGACCCUUACCCUCGACGGUCAGACACCCCCUGGGCUCCACGGCUCUGACUGUGGCCCUGACGACCCUGCUUGUUGUGGCUGCUGGUCCCUUUGCUGUCUGCCUGCUCGGCAGGGCGACCCUUGCAGGCAGGGGCUUUCUCCACUCCAUCCACACGUCCCUGGACCCAGCUGAGGCCAGCGUGGAGCAGGCCCUCGGGAAAGGCCGACGGCGAGAGGGAGGCCCGGAGAGGGACAGGGCCCUGCCCCGGGUCCCACAGUGAGUUCCAGCAGAACUGGAGCCCCACGGAAACCCCUCCAGGUCCCACUUUCUCCUGGGACUCAAGCCCAGGAAUGGGGCAGCGUCUGCAGUGGCCACUCUAGGAAAGGGUGCCCAGAGGCCUCUGGCCUCUGCUGCUCCCAGGGGCCUGGGGCCAAGGACACUCUGUCCCUCCUCCCCCCUCCCCCCGAAGGAUGUUCUCAAGAUAAAAAUACCCUCGGAAACGCUCCCCAGUGCCUGGCCUGACCUGUCGUCCACUCAGGGGGCCAGAACUUCCUGCCCUGGCUUCACCCGGGGUCAGAGCCGGGACAUCCGCCCUCCCGGGCACUUGGCACAGCCUGUCCCUGUGUCGGUCAGGGCCUCCAGCCCCAACCCCCAGGGCACAGAGUUUGAGGGCCCCGAGGGGUCGCGGUUGCUCGUGGUCAGGGUUGGCCUGAUCUGCCAGCACUGACACCCCAAGCACAGAGGGACAGGGCGGCCAGGCCUCUGCCCGGUGGAGCCCAGGGCUCUCCUGCCUCGCUGCCUGUUACUCAGGCCGCACGGGAGGCCCAACUGUCCAUCAGGCCGGAAUCCUGAGCCGGUUGUGAGCUGCUGGGAGGACAGGCUCCUACCGAGCGUCUGCCGUGUGUGCCAGAGACCGGGGCGGGGCCUGGCUUCACCCCUUCACAGCCCCCCCCCCCGAGGUAGGAGGGGUCUGCCCAUCAGCAGAUGAGGAGCCUGAGGCCCAGGGACGUUCCCAGAGGGAGCUGGGGGUGACCAGGGCUUGAACGCAGGACCGGGGGCUGCAGGAAAGGCUGUCCUCGCUGAGAACGAUGGUGGCAACAGAGCCACGCGGUGCAGGGCCUCUGCCCAGCGCCUCUCCCCCACCACACUGCAGUUCGGGGCCUCAGGGAGGGAAGGGCCUCGCCCUUGGCCGCUAGGAUGGCGGGUGGCAGGGGCCCGGGGCUUCGCACACUUGCUGGCAGGCGGAGGACGUCUUGCUGGGAGGCUCAGGUCACCCCUGUGUCAUGGGCAGACCUGCCCCCGCUCUAGACCACCCGGUCAAGGACUGUGACCACCAGCCAGGCUCGUGUUUGCGAACUUUAGAGGGUUGGGCCCGCGCUCGCGGGCUGCGGCGGCCACUGCAGGGCAGAGGGAGCCGUCGACAGGGCGUCCGUCGUCCUGGGGUUUGUCUCGGAGCUGCCCCUCACCCCGUGGCUUUGUGACCUCGGACAGGCCACUUCUCUGCUCUGAGCCUCCGUUUCCUCCUGCAUAGAGAGGAGCUGGUUUUCCUUCCCUCCCGGGAUUGGGCAAAUCUGACCGGAAUUACGGGUCCGGAGAAAAGCCCUUCCGCGAAGUUGGGAGUCAGGAAGGAGAGAGCCUGGGGCUGGUCCGGCAGCCGAGAGGAAGUGAGGAGGGCGGGCUGGCCACCUGCUCCCCCUCGGCUUCUCCGCUUCCCUGUGGCCCCGUGCCCCUCUCUGCUCAGUUCCAGGUCUAGGUGACUCAGGGCCAGUGACCUCACCUCUCUUGGCCUCAGUUCCUGUCUGUCCCUCGUGGGGGCGGGAAAAGUUGGAGUCACCAAAGCUGGGCGCCCAGCAUGUGGGCCGGGCACCGUGCGUGUCCACUCCAGGGGAGGGCAAGAAGUCAGCGACCUGGUAGAGUUCCUGUCGUGGCUCAGUGGUAACAAACCCGACUAGUACCCAUGAGGAUGCGGGUUCGAUCCCUGGCCUCGCUCAGUGGGUUAAGGAUCCAGCGUUGUCAUGAUCCUUGGACCCCACGUUGCUAUGGCUUGGACCCCACGUUGCUACGGCUGUGGAUGUGGUGUAGACCAGCAUCUGCCGCUUUGAUUUGCCCCCUAGCCUGGGAACUUCAUAUGCUGCAGGUGCAGCCCU